This 336-nucleotide unclassified non-coding RNA is filed under the name soil metagenome. Its description in RNAcentral is "partial contains 5.8S ribosomal RNA, internal transcribed spacer 2, and large subunit ribosomal RNA". The stretch from base 1 to 120 matches the Rfam family "5.8S ribosomal RNA", at positions 35 to 154 of the family's 154-position model. The record is from RNAcentral.
GAUGAAGAACGUAGCGAAAUGCGAUAAGUAGUGUGAAUUGCAGAAUUCAGUGAAUCAUCGAAUCUUUGAACGCACAUUGCGCCCCUUGGUAUUCCAUGGGGCAUGCCUGUUCGAGCGUCAUUUGUACCUUCAAGCUUUGCUUGGUGUUGGGUGUUUGUCUCGCCUUUGCGUGUAGACUCGCCUUAAAAUAAUUGGCAGCCGGCGUAUUGAUUUCGGAGCGCAGUACAUCUCGCGCUUUGCACUCAUAACGACAGCGUCCAAAAGUACAUUUUACACUCUUGACCUCGGAUCAGGUAGGGAUACCCGCUGAACUUAAGCAUAUCAAUAAGCGGAGGA